This 116-nucleotide ribosomal RNA is filed under the name Priestia megaterium. The record is from RNAcentral. Lineage: Bacteria; Bacillati; Bacillota; Bacilli; Caryophanales; Bacillaceae. RNAcentral also lists the same sequence under 18 other names.
UCUGGUGGCGAUAGCGAAGAGGUCACACCCGUUCCCAUACCGAACACGGAAGUUAAGCUCUUUAGCGCCGAUGGUAGUUGGGACUUUGUCCCUGUGAGAGUAGGACGUUGCCAGGC